Molecule: ribosomal RNA, 494 nt
Filed under: uncultured bacterium
Lineage: Bacteria
Description: bacterial SSU rRNA
Rfam family: Bacterial small subunit ribosomal RNA
Source: RNAcentral
AUUGAACGCUGGCGGAAUGCUUUACACAUGCAAGUCGAACGGCAGCACGGACUUCGGUCUGGUGGCGAGUGGCGAACGGGUGAGUAAUAUAUCGGAACGUGCCCAGUCGUGGGGGAUAACGUAGUGAAAAUUACGCUAAUACCGCAUACGAUCUAAGGAUGAAAGCGGGGGAUCGCAAGACCUCGCGCGAUUGGAGCGGCCGAUAUCAGAUUAGGUAGUUGGUGAGGUAAAGGCUCACCAAGCCAACGAUCUGUAGCUGGUCUGAGAGGACGACCAGCCACACUGGAACUGAGACACGGUCCAGACUCCUACGGGAGGCAGCAGUGGGGAAUUUUGGACAAUGGACGCAAGUCUGAUCCAGCCAUUCCGCGUGCAGGACGAAGGCCUUCGGGUUGUAAACUGCUUUGUACAGAACGAAAAGGUACUCUAUUAAUACUAGGGGCUCAUGACGGUACUGUAAGAAUAAGCACCGGCUAACUACGUGCCAGCAGCCG